GAUGAACGCUAGCGGCAGGCCUAACACAUGCAAGUCGAGGGAGAGGUUACCUUCGGGUAACCAAAACCGGCGCACGGGUGCGUAACGCGUAUACAAUCUGCCUUUCACAUAGGGAUAGCCCGAAGAAAUUUGGAUUAAUACCUAAUGGUAUAUAAGAGCGGCAUCGUUUUUAUAUUAAAGCUACGGUGGUGAAAGAUGAGUAUGCGUUCUAUUAGCUAGUUGGAGAGGUAACGGCUCCCCAAGGCGACGAUAGAUAGGGGUUCUGAGAGGGAUGUCCCCCACACUGGUACUGAGAUACGGACCAGACUCCUACGGGAGGCAGCAGUGAGGAAUAUUGGACAAUGGUCGGAAGACUGAUCCAGCCAUGCCGCGUGCAGGAUGAAGGUCCUAUGGAUUGUAAACUGCUUUUGUAAGGGAAGAAUAAGGGGUACGUGU
Molecule: ribosomal RNA, 435 nt
Filed under: Capnocytophaga sputigena
Lineage: Bacteria; Pseudomonadati; Bacteroidota; Flavobacteriia; Flavobacteriales; Flavobacteriaceae
Description: bacterial SSU rRNA
Rfam family: Bacterial small subunit ribosomal RNA
Source: RNAcentral